Molecule: small nuclear RNA, 103 nt
Filed under: Phocoena sinus (vaquita)
Lineage: Eukaryota; Metazoa; Chordata; Mammalia; Artiodactyla; Phocoenidae
Source: RNAcentral
GUACUUGCUUUGGCAGCACAUAUACUAAAUUUGGACCGAUACAGAGAUUAGCAUGGCCCCUGCACAGGAUGACAUGCAAAUUCAUGAAGCAUUCCAUAUUUUG